This 334-nucleotide ribosomal RNA is filed under the name uncultured bacterium. Its description in RNAcentral is "partial 16S ribosomal RNA". It matches the Rfam family "Bacterial small subunit ribosomal RNA", at positions 338 to 669 of the family's 1533-position model. The record is from RNAcentral.
CCUACGGGGGGCAGCAGUGAGGAAUAUUGGGCAAUGGACGAGAGUCUGAACCAGCCAAGUAGCGUGAAGGAUGACUGCCCUAUGGGUUGUAAACUUCUUUUAUAGGGGAAUAAAAUGUGCCACAUGUGGGAUUUUGUAUGUACCAUAUGAAUAAGGAUCGGCUAACUCCGUGCCAGCAGCCGCGGUAAUACGGAGGAUCCGAGCGUUAUCCGGAUUUAUUGGGGUUAAAGGGAGCGUAGGUGGAUUGUUAAGUCAGUUGUGAAAGUUUGCGGCUCAACCGUAAAAUUGCAGUUGAAACUGGCAGUCUUUCGUACAGUAGCGGUGGGCGGACUUC